UGAGGUACCAAGAAACUAGCAAAGGGCCUU
RNAcentral lists this non-coding RNA (30 nucleotides) under Homo sapiens (human). The record is from RNAcentral. Lineage: Eukaryota; Metazoa; Chordata; Mammalia; Primates; Hominidae.